AAUGAUCAAGAACUUGUUUGACUGAAGAGAUAGAAUGAAAAGGGAAGACCCAAAAGUGUUUUAUAACAGAAUGCGCAAGAUGGUUUGCAUCAUGGUUAUGAAGGAAAAGCUGACAGUAUUUUUGAGACAGCAAGAAAAACAUCAUUGAACACCACCAACUAAUAAGACUCCAAAGGAAUAACAAAGAUUAGAGUUUAAAGAAUGGAUUCAAUGCUGGUACUUGGAUAAAGAUAAUCAGGCAUGGACUCUCAUCUCCUAUGGAUCUUCAGCACCUUUAGGUUACAGUUUUAUAUUUCACUAGAAGAGACUCAUAAAUAAACAAAGGACAGUCAGUUACUACAAAAGAGAAGCAUCGGAGAUUAGUGAUAUUUUGUUCAGCAUUGUUGCAUCUUACAAAGAUGUAAACUAUUAAAAUAUUGUUUACAUCUAUCAAUUAAUGAUUUUGAUACAUGUACCAGUAAUUAAUAAUUUUGAUGUGGGGUAAACUGGUAAAAUUGAAUGGAAAACAAGCAGAUGACUUGGUAAUGAUGUGUAAAAAACAUCAUUCAUUUAAUUAAUACAUGCAAUUGCAUGCAGUUAAAAUUCGGUCAAAAUUCUUGUGGUGUAUAUUGAAAGGUGUAACCAAGAGGGAAACAUGAAAUGAUUUUCAUAUUAUCAUGAAAAUAAAAGUCAAGUUGUAUAUUAUACAGUUAUUUCUGUUUUUGAGGUCAUUAUAAUGGUUUGGCUUGCCUAGAUGUAUGCAUUCACCGAUCCUAAAGAAGGAAGUAAAUAUUGUCCCUCGAUGGUUGUUGAUCAAUAUAUUAACCCCCCCCCCCCCCCCCCCAAAAAAAAUAAAUAAAUGCAAUUUCAAUUUUUGUAUAAUACCAUAUGUAUCAUACCCAUAGGGUAUGGUGUGUACAAAACAAGUGUGACCUUUUGAUUUGGCUGUUGGACUUAAAAAAAAAAAUUUAGGCUGAAAAAAACCCCUCAAAAAUGGGAUAUGAUACUGUUUUUGUAAAUAUGGAUCGUCUCCCUUUUCAGCUUAAAAUUAGAACAUUUUACUGGUCAUGAAAAUAUUUUGAUUAAAUGAAAAGUAAAAUUGUGUUGUAUUUCAAAUUGGAAAAUUGAGAAAUUUUUUUGAAAUGUCAAUUUAUUCUUACAUGCAUACCUGGUAUAUAUUCAUGAUAUGUGUAUAGGGCAUAUUUUUUGUACUGUGACAAAAAAAGGGAAAUUGCCAUUUUUUAUAUGAAACUCGUCAAUCAUUUUGGGAAAAUAAUAAUCAUUUGCACAAAAAUGUUUUAAUUAUUUUAUUUUCUAUAGGGUAUGGUGUCUAUGAAACUAGCAUGGCCUUUUGGUUUGGCUGUAGGGUUUUUUAAUUUUUUGAUAGCUGAAAAUCCUCAAAAAAUUGAUAUUUUGCUGUUUUUGUCAAUAUGGAUUAUCUCCCCUUUUCAGCUUAAAAUUAGAACAUUUUACUGGACAUGGAAAUAUUUUGAUUAAUUAUGAAAAGUUACUAUUUGAGCUGUAUUUGAAUGAGAAAUAAACAAAAAUGUGAUUUAU
This is a long non-coding RNA of Saccostrea echinata, 1536 nucleotides long. RefSeq lists it as uncharacterized. The record is from RefSeq and is a predicted model, not a curated record. The transcript has 3 exons. Lineage: Eukaryota; Metazoa; Mollusca; Bivalvia; Ostreida; Ostreidae.